Ictalurus punctatus (channel catfish) is the source of this 334-nucleotide long non-coding RNA. The record is from Ensembl. Lineage: Eukaryota; Metazoa; Chordata; Actinopteri; Siluriformes; Ictaluridae.
AAAGCGGCCGUGUGUUAUAAAGUCUGCUCCAGCGACUUCACUUCUCUCAAAGCCGGGAACUUCUCUGCACAGGAAUCAAAUCAGGAAAAAUUGAAGAAGAUGAAAGACUGAAAAAGCAAGCGGAGGAGAGAGAACAUCUGGAACGUUUGGAACGUGAGAGAAGGAUCCAGGAGGAGCUGAACAGAGAGAGCGAAUCAUCCAGACACAAGCUUUCUCAAGCAACUCAGCGGCUUCGCGAGAAACAGCGCUUCAGAGGUCAGGAACAGCAUCAUGAACGUACACAAGUUCUCCAACAGCAGAUAGAAGACGACGCUGCUGCGAUCGAGAGGGACGA